AGUAAGGUCAGCUAACCAAGCUACCGGGCCCAUACCCCGGAAAUGAUGGUUUAACCCCUUCCCUUACUA
Molecule: transfer RNA, 69 nt
Filed under: Tyrannus savana (Fork-tailed flycatcher)
Lineage: Eukaryota; Metazoa; Chordata; Aves; Passeriformes; Tyrannidae
Description: tRNA-Met
Rfam family: tRNA
About the family: Transfer RNA (tRNA) molecules are approximately 80 nucleotides in length. Their secondary structure includes four short double-helical elements and three loops (D, anti-codon, and T loops).
Source: RNAcentral